AAAUAAAUGGGCUAAAUAGUCUCAAAAUCCCUCAAUCUGGCAACAAUGGCUUUUGCGUACCUUACGUGAAUUACUACGCCAUUACGCCUCUUGCAUGCGGGAAUUUCAAAACUGCUAAUCAUUACGUCUUGCUAAAUGACGGUAGAUACAUGAGUUAAGAAAAUAUGCAAUCGGUGCUCAAAAGCGCAGCAAUAAACACCCGAAGAUUACAACCUUAUUUAGACUAGCUAGGGAGGUAGCUAUCAUCAGCAUACGAAACACUACCGCAACAGCAGGUAGCUAUAGCAGCAGCACGUCUUUACCAGCAACCUGCCUUUCCAACGCAACAUCCCCUGGCGGCUGGGAAACCCCCGCACACGUUGAGAGCCCCGGAGUUUUGACUGCCAGGUUUUGUAGGUGUUAUUGGCAGUGAACAUGGCCAGCUGCACCUUUAGGGACUGGAACUGUAGCUCUGGACACAGGUCAACCACGUCAUCAACUUGACCAGAGAGUAGGACUUUCUCCAGCUUGACCAGGUAUAUUCCACUGGAGUGUCAAGACGGAGAAGAGGUUUGACUGGGCUGAGCGACCUGUGAUGACAGCAUAAAAAGCAUACUUUUCUUUUCUCCUUUAUGUUGGAUUUUGUGAGACAAAAAGGCACACAGCUAAAUGCUGCACGACAGUCUGUGUCUGUCUCUAAUAAAUAUUUUAAGCAUAAAUUCUAAUGUUCUACACCGUAUAUACGACAGUCAGGUGUUCAAUUAUAUUCUGUUCUCAUUCAUUGGGACCAAAUCUUGUGUGCAAACAAAAUAAUUGACGUAACAUUUGUGUUAUUGUAAGGUUUUUAUUUUUCA
Esox lucius (northern pike) is the source of this 833-nucleotide long non-coding RNA. RefSeq lists it as uncharacterized. The record is from RefSeq and is a predicted model, not a curated record. The transcript has 3 exons. Lineage: Eukaryota; Metazoa; Chordata; Actinopteri; Esociformes; Esocidae.